AUGGGGGUUAAUGAUGGCUUAUCAUCCCUUAGAAUCAGGCUUUCCAUUGCCGGCCAGUAUCUUCUUCCUUCCCACCUACAGUACGUAGUAGAAAGUAGAAACGAUGCUCCACUUUGGCCUCCUUUCCUCUUGUUUCCUAUUCCUCCUUUCCCCUUGCAUAUCCGCUGGUUGGUUGGUGUGCAUGUGAAGCAGCGGCGGGAUCAGGAUCGAACACUUCAGGACGCUGGGCCCUGUCCUAGUUUAUCCCAGAAGACGAAUGAAUCAGCGUUGGCAUGCACUUGCUUGCCUGUGCCUCGUGGUGUUUUCCAGGACAAGUGUGGAGUACGCGAUUCUACUUUGAUGCUGAUCAGGCUGGAAACCAGUUAA
RNAcentral lists this ribosomal RNA (366 nucleotides) under Triticum aestivum (bread wheat). Its description in RNAcentral is "partial small subunit ribosomal RNA". The record is from RNAcentral. Lineage: Eukaryota; Viridiplantae; Streptophyta; Magnoliopsida; Poales; Poaceae.